RNAcentral lists this ribosomal RNA (497 nucleotides) under uncultured bacterium. Its description in RNAcentral is "partial 16S ribosomal RNA". It matches the Rfam family "Bacterial small subunit ribosomal RNA", at positions 28 to 507 of the family's 1533-position model. The record is from RNAcentral.
GAUGAACGCUGGCGGCGUGCCUAAUACAUGCAAGUCGAGCGAACGGACGAGAAGCUUGCUUCUCUGAUGUUAGCGGCGGACGGGUGAGUAACACGUGGAUAACCUACCUAUAAGACUGGGAUAACUUCGGGAAACCGGAGCUAAUACCGGAUAAUAUUUUGAACCGCAUGGUUCAAAAGUGAAAGACGGUCUUGCUGUCACUUAUAGAUGGAUCCGCGCUGCAUUAGCUAGUUGGUAAGGUAACGGCUUACCAAGGCAACGAUGCAUAGCCGACCUGAGAGGGUGAUCGGCCAUACUGGAACUGAGACACGGUCCAGACUCCUACGGGAGGCAGCAGUAGGGAAUCUUCCGCAAUGGGCGAAAGCCUGACGGAGCAACGCCGCGUGAGUGAUGAAGGUCUUCGGAUCGUAAAACUCUGUUAUUAGGGAAGAACAUAUGUGUAAGUAACUGUGCACAUCUUGACGGUAACUAAUCAGAAAGCCACGGCUAACUACGUG